RNAcentral lists this long non-coding RNA (927 nucleotides) under Numida meleagris (helmeted guineafowl). RNAcentral describes it as "lncRNA (ENSNMEG00000001067.1)". Lineage: Eukaryota; Metazoa; Chordata; Aves; Galliformes; Numididae. The record is from RNAcentral.
UGUCACUGUCACUUGGGUGAUGCCAUUCCCUCGUGCUCUGACCACCGUGUGGGGGCAGGCACAGGCAGCCCCGUGUUAUCACCGUGCUGUCACUAAUCCUCUGUCACUCCCCCAGGCCUGCCUACAAUCGGACCGGUAACUCCGGAGCCCUCCAGCGCUGUCACCAUCAUCUGCCACGGGGACGCGGUGGUGUACUCUGUGCUACCGCUGGAGGGGACCGUGUGUGACAUCAGCGCGGAACAGCCGUGAUGCGGUGUCAUCGUCAUUGGGUGUUGCUUCUGUCAACCGGCAUCGGGUGUCACCGUCACGUGGAGGGGACAGAAGGACCCCCUGGGGCCCUGGGGACGUUGCGCCGAAGUUGGGGACACCGUGACAAGCUCAAAGACUUCCCAGGGAAAGUGGGGACGCUGUGUCAUGGUGUCACACCCCCGAAGUUAGGGCAUCCCUUUGGGAGCACCCCCGUGUCACCCCCGCAGUGUCACACCCUAGACACCCCGUAUCCCAUUCCUAUCCUACCCCAUAUACCAUAACCGCAGCCCUUCCCAUAUCCAUAUCCCCGUAUCCGUUCCACAUCUUUAUCCCAUUCCAGUAUCAUCCCAAACCCAUCUCAUAUCCAUAUCCCAUAUCCAUUCAAAUCCAUACCCUCACAUCCCAUAUGCCAGCCCAUCCCAUAUCAAUAGCCGUGUCCCAUCCCAGAUCCAUCAUCCAUCCCAUGUCCAUUCCAUGGACUUAUGCUGUAUCCAGAGCCCAUCCCAUACGUAUCCCCUUUCCCGAUAUCCCAUCCCGUAUCCAUAUCCCAUAUCCUCACACCCUCCAUCCCAAUCCCAACCCCGCAUGCCACCUGACAAUCCCAGUCCCAAUCCCACAUCCCAACCUCAAUUAGCAAGAGGGUGAACCCAAGGCCAAAGGCUGCCCCAUAGGCUGCAG